Molecule: ribosomal RNA, 584 nt
Filed under: uncultured fungus
Lineage: Eukaryota; Fungi
Description: eukaryotic LSU rRNA
Rfam family: Eukaryotic large subunit ribosomal RNA
Source: RNAcentral
AGAGUCCGAGUUGUAAUUUGCAGAGGGCGCUUUGGCUUUGGCAGCGGUCCAAGUUCCUUGGAACAGGACGUCACAGAGGGUGAGAAUCCCGUACGUGGUCGCUAGCUAUUGCCGUGUAAAGCCCCUUCGACGAGUCGAGUUGUUUGGGAAUGCAGCUCUAAAUGGGAGGUAAAUUUCUUCUAAAGCUAAAUAUUGGCCAGAGACCGAUAGCGCACAAGUAGAGUGAUCGAAAGAUGAAAAGCACUUUGGAAAGAGAGUCAAACAGCACGUGAAAUUGUUGAAAGGGAAGCGCUUGCAGCCAGACUUGCUUGCAGUUGCUCAUCCGGGCUUUUGCCCGGUGCACUCUUCUGCAGGCAGGCCAGCAUCAGUUUGGGCGGUGGGAUAAAGGUCUCUGACACGUUCCUUCCUUCGGGUUGGCCAUAUAGGGGAGACGUCAUACCACCAGCCUGGACUGAGGUCCGCGCAUCUGCUAGGAUGCUGGCGUAAUGGCUGUAAGCGGCCCGUCUUGAAACACGGACCAAGGAGUCUAACAUCUAUGCGAGUGUUUGGGUGUCAAGCCCGAGCGCGUAAUGAAAGUGAACGGA